GUAGGCCUGAUGGCCAACAUCCCAAAUGAUUUUAUCUUGAGGAGUAUUAAAGACAUGGUGAAGAGCCACAGUGAGCUCUGUCACCCCUAAGCUUGAACUUAGGUGCCCUCCAGUCUUUGAAACUGUAUACACUAUCUCUUCUCGCAGUUCUUCGGCCAAUAUCUCAAGCUCGAGAAUAGAAAGAUUCUUCAUGUGAAUUGGG
Molecule: unclassified non-coding RNA, 202 nt
Filed under: Hevea brasiliensis (rubber tree)
Lineage: Eukaryota; Viridiplantae; Streptophyta; Magnoliopsida; Malpighiales; Euphorbiaceae
Source: RNAcentral